RNAcentral lists this ribosomal RNA (328 nucleotides) under uncultured bacterium. RNAcentral's name for it is "bacterial SSU rRNA". It matches the Rfam family "Bacterial small subunit ribosomal RNA", at positions 28 to 334 of the family's 1533-position model. The record is from RNAcentral.
GAUGAAUGCUGGCGGCGUGCCUAACACAUGCAAGUCGAACGGACAUUUUUUGGAAAGUCCUUCGGGACGUGGAAUCUAUAACUUAGUGGCGGACGGGUGAGUAACGCGUGAGCAAUCUGCCUUUAGGUAGGGGGAGUAACAGUCGGAAACGGCUGCUAAUACCGCAUAAUGCAUCAAUUUCGCAUGUUAUUGAUGCCAAAGGAGCAAUCCGCCUUUAGAUGAGCUCGCGUCUGAUUAGAUAGUUGGUGAGGUAACGGCUCACCAAGUCGACGAUCAGUAGCCGGACUGAGAGGUUGAACGGCCACAUUGGGACUGAGAUACGGCCCAG